UACGUAGGGUGCGAGCGUUGUCCGGAAUUACUGGGCGUAAAGAGCUCGUAGGUGGUUUGUCGCGUUGUCCGUGAAAACUCACAACUCAAUUGUGGGCGUGCGGGCGAUACGGGCAGACUGGAGUACUGCAGGGGAGACUGGAAUUCCUGGUGUAGCGGUGGAAUGCGCAGAUAUCAGGAGGAACACCCAUGGCGAAGGCAGCAAGCUGGGCGACAUCUGACGCUGAGGCGCGAAAGCGUGGGUAGCAAACAGG
RNAcentral lists this ribosomal RNA (253 nucleotides) under uncultured bacterium. RNAcentral describes it as "partial 16S ribosomal RNA". It matches the Rfam family "Bacterial small subunit ribosomal RNA", at positions 524 to 776 of the family's 1533-position model. The record is from RNAcentral.